This 428-nucleotide ribosomal RNA is filed under the name Gemmatimonadota bacterium. RNAcentral's name for it is "Gemmatimonadetes bacterium partial 16S ribosomal RNA". It matches the Rfam family "Bacterial small subunit ribosomal RNA", at positions 355 to 776 of the family's 1533-position model. Lineage: Bacteria; Pseudomonadati; Gemmatimonadota. The record is from RNAcentral.
UAGGGAAUCUUCGCAAUGGACGAAAGUCUGACCGAGCAACGCCGCGUGAGUGAAGAAGGUUUUCGGAUCGUAAAACUCUGUUGUUAGAGAAGAACAAGGACGUUAGUAACUGAACGUCCCCUGACGGUAUCUAACCAGAAAGCCACGGCUAACUACGUGCCAGCAGCCGCGGUAAUACGUAGGUGGCAAGCGUUGUCCGGAUUUAUUGGGCGUAAAGCGAGCGCAGGCGGUUUCUUAAGUCUGAUGUGAAAGCCCCCGGCUCAACCGGGGAGGGUCAUUGGAAACUGGGAGACUUGAGUGCAGAAGAGGAGAGUGGAAUUCCAUGUGUAGCGGUGAAAUGCGUAGAUAUAUGGAGGAACACCAGUGGCGAAGGCGGCUCUCUGGUCUGUAACUGACGCUGAGGCUCGAAAGCGUGGGGAGCAAACAGG